CACAAGCGGUGGAGCAUGUGGUUUAAUUCGACGAUACGCGAAGAACCUUACCCGGGUUUGACAUUGUAUCGAAGCAUCCAGAGAUGGAUGUGUCUCUUCGGAGACGGUAUGACAGGUGCUGCAUGGCUGUCGUCAGCUCGUGCCGUGAGGUGUUGGGUUAAGUCCCGCAACGAGCGCAAUCCCUAUCUUUAGUUGCCAUCAGUUCGGCUGGGCACUCUAUGGAGACUGCCACCUAAAGUGGAGGAAGGUGGGGAUGACGUCAAGUCAGCAUGGCCCUUAUGUCCAGGGCGACACACGUGCUACAAUGGCCGGCACAACGGGAAGCGAGUUCGCGAGGACGAGCGGAUCCCUCAAAGCCGGUCGCAGUUCGGAUUGAAGUCUGCAACUCGACUUCAUGAAGCUGGAAUCGCUAGUAAUCGUGGAUCAGCCAAGCCGCGGUGAAUACGUUCCCGGGCCUU
This 458-nucleotide ribosomal RNA is filed under the name uncultured Synergistaceae bacterium. RNAcentral describes it as "bacterial SSU rRNA". It matches the Rfam family "Bacterial small subunit ribosomal RNA", at positions 924 to 1382 of the family's 1533-position model. Lineage: Bacteria; Thermotogati; Synergistota; Synergistia; Synergistales; Synergistaceae. The record is from RNAcentral.